GACGAACGCUGGCGGCGUGCCUAAUACAUGCAAGUAGAACGCUGAAGGAGGAGCUUGCUCUUCUGGAUGAGUUGCGAACGGGUGAGUAACGCGUAGGUAACCUGCCUGGUAGCGGGGGAUAACUAUUGGAAACGAUAGCUAAUACCGCAUAAGAGUAGAUGUUGCAUGACAUUUACUUAAAAGGUGCAAUUGCAUCACUACCAGAUGGACCUGCGUUGUAUUAGCUAGUUGGUGGGGUAACGGCUUACCAAGGCGACGAUACAUAGCCGACCUGAGAGGGGGAUCGGCCACACUGGGACUGAGACACGGCCCAGACUCCUACGGGAGGCAGCAGUAGGGAAUCUUCGGCAAUGGACGGAAGUCUGACCGAGCAACGCCGCGGGAGUGAAGAAGGGUUUCGGAUCGUAAAGCUCUGUUGUAAGAGAAGAACGAGUGUGGGAGUGGAAAGUUCACACUGUGACGGUAUCUUACCAGAAAGGGACGGCUAACUACGUG
RNAcentral lists this ribosomal RNA (495 nucleotides) under uncultured bacterium. RNAcentral's name for it is "partial 16S ribosomal RNA". It matches the Rfam family "Bacterial small subunit ribosomal RNA", at positions 28 to 507 of the family's 1533-position model. The record is from RNAcentral.